GUGGGGAAUAUUGGACAAUGGGCGAAAGCCUGAUCCAGCCAUGCCGCGUGUGUGAAGAAGGUCUUCGGAUUGUAAAGCACUUUAAGUUGGGAGGAAGGGCAGUAAGUUAAUACCUUGCUGUUUUGACGUUACCGACAGAAUAAGCACCGGCUAACUUCGUGCCAGCAGCCGCGGUAAUACGAAGGGUGCAAGCGUUAAUCGGAAUUACUGGGCGUAAAGCGCGCGUAGGUGGUUGUGUAAGUUGGAGGUGAAAUCCCCGGGCUCAACCUGGGAACUGCCUCCAAAACUGCAUGACUAGAGUACGGUAGAGGGUAGUGGAAUUUCCUGUGUAGCGGUGAAAUGCGUAGAUAUAGGAAGGAACACCAGUGGCGAAGGCGACUACCUGGACUGAUACUGACACUGAGGUGCGAAAGCGUGGGGAGCAAACAGGAUUAGAAACCCUGGUAGUCC
RNAcentral lists this ribosomal RNA (450 nucleotides) under uncultured bacterium. Its description in RNAcentral is "partial 16S ribosomal RNA". It matches the Rfam family "Bacterial small subunit ribosomal RNA", at positions 354 to 796 of the family's 1533-position model. The record is from RNAcentral.